AAAAAUAAUUUACUUGAAGCUUGAGGUUAUAUUGGUAUAAAUUGACCAUACAAUUUCCUAUUUCUACAUGCAAAGGAAAAAAUAUGACUAAAGUUCAUAAGUUUAUUUAUAUUAUGAUCGUAUUUCUUUCCAUAUUUCACGUUGUAAACAGCUACGUCGUUAUGUGCGAAAAAGACAGUGAUUGUGUGGAUUCUUUUUGUGUCCCACCAAAUGUUCCAAAGUGCAGAGUGGUUUGUAAAUGUCUACCAAAGUAAUAAAAGUGAAAAAUAAUUUUAUUGUAAUGCUAAGAGUAUAAUUGUAUUUUCAUAUCUUAAUGUUAGUACAUUAUGAUUUCUUCUUACCAUUGGAAUUAGCUUCCUUUAUAAAUAAAGACAACUUAGACCAUUUACAUGAGGUGCUUCUCUUAUUUAGCACUAUUUUAAAUAAGCAUCCUCAUUGUAACAUCAAUGAAUAUGAUGUUUAGGGUAUGUGUUUUUAUAGGCACUCUCUCUCUCCUAUUAUUCAUAGGUCCCACAUGUUCAAUUAAUUAUAUUUUUUUUCCUCUAUAUUCAAUUAUUGUAUUAUUUUGAUAUUAAAAAAUAAAUUAUAUAAUAGUUAUAAAUAA
Long non-coding RNA from Medicago truncatula (barrel medic), 604 nucleotides. RefSeq lists it as uncharacterized. Lineage: Eukaryota; Viridiplantae; Streptophyta; Magnoliopsida; Fabales; Fabaceae. The record is from RefSeq and is a predicted model, not a curated record. The transcript is spliced from 2 exons.